GUGCUCCCUUCAGCAGCAAAUGUACUAAAACUGAAAUGGUACAGAGAUGAUUAGUAUAGCCCCUGUGCAAGGAUAACAUGCAAAUUCGUGACAUGUUCCAUAUUUUC
This is a small nuclear RNA of Bison bison bison, 107 nucleotides long. Lineage: Eukaryota; Metazoa; Chordata; Mammalia; Artiodactyla; Bovidae. The record is from Ensembl.